This 96-nucleotide transfer RNA is filed under the name Actinomadura soli. RNAcentral describes it as "Actinomadura sp. 14C53 tRNA-Sec". It matches the Rfam family "Selenocysteine transfer RNA". The record is from RNAcentral. Lineage: Bacteria; Bacillati; Actinomycetota; Actinomycetes; Streptosporangiales; Thermomonosporaceae. RNAcentral also lists the same sequence under 2 other names.
GGAGGCGAAUCCGGUCUGGUGACCGGCUCGGUCUUCAAAACCGCAGAGGCCCGGACCACCGGGCCUGGCGGGUUCGAUUCCCGUCCGCCUCCGCCA